RNAcentral lists this unclassified non-coding RNA (348 nucleotides) under Hevea brasiliensis (rubber tree). Lineage: Eukaryota; Viridiplantae; Streptophyta; Magnoliopsida; Malpighiales; Euphorbiaceae. The record is from RNAcentral.
CAAUCAUUGGGAAAACAAUAGAUGUGGAUCUUUCUUAUAAUAACUUCACAAAACAAAACCCUUCAUAUCCUGUUUGUCGGCAGACAAGGGAUUUGAAUCUAAACUUGUUCCGAAGUUCAUCGAUGAGGAAGGACUUACAUGGGGCAUGCAUGGAAGAUUUCAGAUGUGAUCGCUGAUAUUUUAAUGGAGAAAGAUUUCAAUAUUAAAAGUGAAGCCUCUGCUGUUCUUACGCCAAUAACAAAAAAGUAUGAUGUUAAUGUUUCAAAUGGUAUUUUGGAGNNNNNNNNCGCUUCUAUUGGGCUGGCAAAGGCACCACCCGGAUUCCAAAUAUUGGAAACUAUGGCCCCC